AGAGUUUGAUCCUGGCUCAGAACGAACGUUAGCGGCGUGCUUAACACAUGCAAGUCGAACGAGAAAGUAUCUUCGGAUAUGAGUAGAGUGGCGCACGGGUGAGUAACACGUGGGUAACCUACCCUUUGGAGGGGGACAACAUCUGGAAACGGAUGCUAAUACCGCAUAAGUCAGUCCUAUAGACGGAUUGGGAAAGGUGGCUUCGGCUACCGCCAGAGGAUGGGCCCGCGACCCAUCAGCUAGUUGGUAAGGUAAAGGCUUACCAAGGCUACGACGGGUAGCUGGUCUGAGAGGAUGAUCAGCCACACUGGAACUGAGACACGGUCCAGACUCCUACGGGAGGCAGCAGUGGGGAAUAUUGCGCAAUGGGCGAAAGCCUGACGCAGCAACGCCGCGUGAGUGAUGAAGGCCCUCGGGUCGUAAAGCUCUGUCGUAGAGGAAAGAACACCCUACCGGGUAAUACUCGGUAGGUCUGACUGUACCUGAGGAAUAAGCAUCGGCUAACUCCGUGCCAGCAGCCGCGGUAAUACGGAGGAUGCAAGCGUUAUCCGGAAUCAUUGGGCGUAAAGCGUCCGCAGGUGGUUUUUCAAGUCUGCUGUUAAAGACUGGAGCUCAACUCCGGAAAGGCAGUGGAAACUGAGAAACUAGAGUUCGGUAGGGGUAGCGGGAAUUCCCAGUGUAGCGGUGAAGUGCGUAGAUAUUGGGAAGAACAUCGGUGGCGAAGGCGCGCUACUGGACCGAAACUGACACUCAGGGACGAAAGCUAGGGGAGCGAAAGGGAUUAGAUACCCCUGUAGUCCUAGCUGUAAACGAUGGAAACUAGGUGUGGCUUGUAUCGACCCGAGCCGUGCCGUAGCUAACGCGUUAAGUUUCCCGCCUGGGGAGUACGCACGCAAGUGUGAAACUCAAAGGAAUUGACGGGGGCCCGCACAAGCGGUGGAGUAUGUGGUUUAAUUCGAUGCAACGCGAAGAACCUUACCAGGGCUUGACAUGUCGCGAAUCUCCUUGAAAGGGGAGAGUGCCUUCGGGAGCGCGAACACAGGUGGUGCAUGGCUGUCGUCAGCUCGUGUCGUGAGAUGUUGGGUUAAGUCCCGCAACGAGCGCAACCCUCGUCUUUAGUUGCCAGCAUUAAGGUGGGCACUCUAGAGAGACUGCCGGUGACAAACCGGAGGAAGGUGGGGAUGACGUCAAGUCAGCAUGCCCCUUACGCCCUGGGCUACACACGUACUACAAUGGUUGGGACAAAGGGCAGCGACCCCGCGAGGGAAAGCGAAUCUCAUCAAACCCAGCCUCAGUUCAGAUUGCAGGCUGCAACUCGCCUGCAUGAAGGAGGAAUCGCUAGUAAUCGCAGGUCAGCAUACUGCGGUGAAUUCGUUCCCGGGCCUUGUACACACCGCCCGUCACACCAUGGAAGCUGGUCACACAC
This 1426-nucleotide ribosomal RNA is filed under the name metagenome. RNAcentral describes it as "bacterial SSU rRNA". It matches the Rfam family "Bacterial small subunit ribosomal RNA". The record is from RNAcentral.